Molecule: transfer RNA, 74 nt
Filed under: Loxodonta africana (African savanna elephant)
Lineage: Eukaryota; Metazoa; Chordata; Mammalia; Proboscidea; Elephantidae
Rfam family: tRNA
About the family: Transfer RNA (tRNA) molecules are approximately 80 nucleotides in length.
Source: Rfam by way of RNAcentral
UCUAGGGUGGUGUAAAUGGUUAAUGUGCUUGGCUGCUAACCGAAAGAUUGAUGGUUCAAAUCCACUCACAAGAA